CACUAAGUGGCUGAAAGUAAGCAAUGGAAUUUUAAACCAUUUAAUAAUAACGUAACUAAUAUUCUUAGUGA
RNAcentral lists this transfer RNA (71 nucleotides) under Laotzeus sp. BMNH 846624. Its description in RNAcentral is "tRNA-Lys". The record is from RNAcentral. Lineage: Eukaryota; Metazoa; Arthropoda; Insecta; Coleoptera; Chrysomelidae.